AUUGAACGCUGGCGGCAUGCCUUACACAUGCAAGUCGAACGGCAGCACGGGUGCUUGCACCUGGUGGCGAGUGGCGAACGGGUGAGUAAUACAUCGGAACAUGCCCUGUAGUGGGGGAUAGCCCGGCGAAAGCCGGAUUAAUACCGCAUACGAUCCACGGAUGAAAGCGGGGGACCUUCGGGCCUCGCGCUAUAGGGUUGGCCGAUGGCUGAUUAGCUAGUUGGUGGGGUAAAGGCCUACCAAGGCGACGAUCAGUAGCUGGUCUGAGAGGACGACCAGCCACACUGGGACUGAGACACGGCCCAGACUCCUACGGGAGGCAGCAGUGGGGAAUUUUGGACAAUGGGCGAAAGCCUGAUCCAGCAAUGCCGCGUGUGUGAAGAAGGCCUUCGGGUUGUAAAUCACUUUUGUCCGGAAAGAAAUCCUUGACUCUAAUACAGUCGGGGGAUGACGGUACCGGAAGAAUAAGCACCGGCUAACUACGUG
This 486-nucleotide ribosomal RNA is filed under the name uncultured bacterium. Its description in RNAcentral is "partial 16S ribosomal RNA". It matches the Rfam family "Bacterial small subunit ribosomal RNA", at positions 30 to 507 of the family's 1533-position model. The record is from RNAcentral.